RNAcentral lists this ribosomal RNA (497 nucleotides) under uncultured bacterium. RNAcentral describes it as "partial 16S ribosomal RNA". It matches the Rfam family "Bacterial small subunit ribosomal RNA", at positions 28 to 507 of the family's 1533-position model. The record is from RNAcentral.
GAUGAACGCUGGCGGCGUGCCUAAUACAUGCAAGUCGAGCGAACAGACGAGGAGCUUGCUCCUCUGACGUUAGCGGCGGACGGGUGAGUCACACGUGGAUAACCUACCUAUAAGACUGGGAUAACUUCGGGAACCCGGAUCUAAUACCCGACAAUAUAUUGAACCGCAUGGUUCAAUAGUGAAAGACCUUUUUGCUGUCCCUUAUACAUAGAUCCGAGUCGCAUUAGCUAGUUGGUAAGGUAACGGCCUACCAAGGCAACGAUGCGUAGCCGACCUGAGAGGGUGAUCAGCCACACUGGAACUGAGACACGGUCCAGACUCCUACGGGAGGCAGCAGUAGGGAAUCUUCCGCAAUGGGCGAAAGCCUGACGGAGCAACGCCGCGUGAGUGAUGAAGGUCUUCGGAUCGUAAAACUCUGUUAGUAGGGAAGAACAAAUGUGUAAGUAACUAUGCAUGUCUUGACGGUACCUAAUCAGAAAGCCACGGCUAACUACGUG